CAUCUAGGUUUAAAUUAUUUUUUUUUUUUAAAAAGAUAUGAGUGCAACAAUGAUAUGUGCCUGGGAAACAGCUAGUAAAAUUGAUGAGUGAAAGAAAAAAGGAAGGUGGGAUUUGACAUACCUUGUACUGGGAAUGACUGAUUGAAGAAAAGACUCGCGCUAAGUGGAAGAAAUGAUUAGUGGGUGUGGCCUUAACAGUGAAGGCGGACUGAAAUUGAAUGCCUCCAAUGAAAUUUGACAAUGGAGUCAAGUUAUGUGAUGAAACAUAACUUGAAACCCUAGAAAGGCGGACUGAAAUUGAAUGCCUGCAAUGAAAUUUGACAAUGGAGUCAAGUUAUGUGAUGAAACAAAAGACAGUAGCUUUAACAUGUCUAGGUUUGUAUUCUGGAAUUUGCCCGUGAAUAAAAUGGGUUAUUUUUUUCUUAGGGGUGGUAUGAUUCAUAAGAUGAAAACCAAUAAAUUGUGGAAUUAUUUAAUCUUGUAUUUGCUUGGAUUUUUAUUUUUUAAUUUUAGAUUAAUUAACAAUUUAAAUAUUAUUUUUAUAUCAUAUUUGAUGUGAGAUAACUUUAAAAAUAGCUAAUCCCGAAAUAAGUGCCAUUUUCCAAAGCUUUCAUCCAAAAGUCUUUAAGAAAAUCAAGGUUAUUGCUAAAAAUAAAAUUUAACUUAAGUUUACUUCCUGUAAAAUCAAAUACAUAUUUUUGCAUGAUACCUCAUAUAUUCUAUUUAUAAUAUAAGAAAUUAAACAUCUUAUUUAACUUAAAGUAUUUAUUUAUAUGUAUAUGACCUCAUAUUUUACUCGUGUUUCGUGGAUUUCAUAUGUAAAAUGUAUUGAUUUAUGUUAAUUCGUGGUGUUCUUAUAUAUAGGAAUCAUUUGGAGGCUAUAGGGGGCGAAAGGUGCAAGAUUAGAG
This 908-nucleotide long non-coding RNA is filed under the name Nicotiana benthamiana. RNAcentral's name for it is "long non-coding RNA (NBEN_LNC019786)". Lineage: Eukaryota; Viridiplantae; Streptophyta; Magnoliopsida; Solanales; Solanaceae. The record is from RNAcentral.